This 274-nucleotide ribosomal RNA is filed under the name uncultured bacterium. Its description in RNAcentral is "partial 16S ribosomal RNA". It matches the Rfam family "Bacterial small subunit ribosomal RNA", at positions 523 to 796 of the family's 1533-position model. The record is from RNAcentral.
CGGCGAACCGUCCAAACGUUAUUCGGAAUUACUGGGCUUAAAGGGUGCGUAGGCGGCUCGAUAAGUUGGGUGUGAAAUCCCACGGCUCAACCGUGGAACUGCGCUCAAUACUGUCGGACUUGAGGGAGAUAGAGGUGAGCGGAACUAAUGGUGGAGCGGUGAAAUGCGUUGAUAUCAUUAGGAACACCUGUAGCGAAAGCGGCUCACUGGGUCUCUUCUGACGCUGAGGCACGAAAGCUAGGGUAGCGAACAGGAUUAGAAACCCCAGUAGUCC